This is a long non-coding RNA of Salvelinus fontinalis (brook trout), 19577 nucleotides long. RefSeq lists it as uncharacterized. The transcript is spliced from 3 exons. The record is from RefSeq and is a predicted model, not a curated record. NCBI's taxonomy places the organism in Eukaryota, Metazoa, Chordata, Actinopteri, Salmoniformes, Salmonidae.
CCGGGACGCGCUUACCCAAACCCGUGGUCGGUAUUAUUUAAUCCUCUCACGAAGAACCGAAACUGCUCCACCUCACAGGCUGUGUCAGCGAAGCAGCGCUCCCUGUCGGCCAGAGGCGACACCACGGCCAGCGCGGUGAAGGACAAACAACAAGAGGGACAAUGUAAUGUUGAGGACAAGCAAAAAAUGAUGCAAUUUCAGAACAAACCGGUAGGAUUAUGGUUUAGCCGAGGGAUUCAGGCAGAAAGAAACACGCACACACCAGUGAAAGUGCAGAGAGUUCACCUCUCCUAAAACAAAUAUAUUAAUUUUACUCACUCCGGAUAUCUGCCUGCUUUGGUUGUUUAGUAGUAAUGGCUACUAUGCCCCUCAAAUCUUUCUAUGAUAUCAGUAGACUGUACAACAUGGUCUGGGACUUAUGUUGGCACUGAACUGGAGCAUGCAGACAUCUAGGGCAGGUAACAGGAAUGUGUUUAAAUGGGGUCUAACUGCACUGCAGCCUGUAGGACUCAACUCCUACAAUGUUUGAUAUGUACAGGCAACUCCACAGACCACAAAUAUACAUAACAAUGGACCUGAAACUGAUAUUACAUAUUAUCUUUCAUCUGUAAAAUUCACUCAGAAUGUAAGAUACCAUCAACUACAUCAACAAACAAAGAGCUCCAAGUAGAUGUCAGUGUGUUUAUUCAGUGUGUCAAUAAUUUAGGGAAGGUGGAGCGUGGGGUAGUGUGUGGUGGCUCUGGCAGUGUUCGUCUACUGUGAAUCCACCGAAAGCCUCAACACUCCCAACAAUACAGAGAGACCAGUCAAUCUCUCUAGUCUAGAAAAGGCCUAGUUCUAUAGCCUCCACUCAGGAGGAACUAGCCGCGGGCCACCAUUAUGAAGGCUAUAUAGCCUCCACUCAGGAGGAACUAGCCGCGGGCCACCAUUAGAAAGGCUAUAUAGCCUCCACUCAGGAGGAACUAGCCGUGGGCCACCAUUAGGAAGGCUAUAUAGCCUCCACUCAGGAGGAACUAGCCACGGGCCACCAUUAGGAAGGCUAUAUAGCCUCCACUCAGGAGGAACUAGCCGUGGGCCACCAUUAGGAAGGCUAUAUAGCCUCCACUCAGGAGGAACUAGCCGCGGGCUCCAUUAGGAAGGCUAUAUAGCCUCCACUCAGGAGGAACUAGCCGUGGGCCACCAUUAGGAAGGCUAUAUAGCCUCCACUCAGGAGGAACUAGCCGUGGGCCACCAUUAGGAAGGCUAUAUAGCCUCCACUCAGGAGGAACUAGCCGUGGGCCACCAUUAGGAAGGCUAUAUAGCCUCCACUCAGGAGGAACUAGCCGUGGGCCACCAUUAGGAAGGCUAUAUAGCCUCCACUCAGGAGGAACUAGCCGUGGGCCACCAUUAGGAAGGCUAUAUAGCCUCCACUCAGGAGGAACUAGCCGUGGGCCACCAUUAGGAAGGCUAUAUAGCCUCCACUCAGGAGGAACUAGCCGUGGGCCACCAUUAGGAAGGCUAUAUAGCCUCCACUCAGGAGGAACUAGCCGCGGGCUCCAUUAGGAAGGCUAUAUAGCCUCCACUCAGGAGGAACUAGCCGCGGGCUCCAUUAGGAAGGCUAUAUAGCCUCCACUCAGGAGGAACUAGCCGCGGGCUCCAUUAGGAAGGCUAUAUAGCCUCCACUCAGGAGGAACUAGCCGCGGGCUCCAUUAGGAAGGCUAUAUAGCCUCCACUCAGGAGGAACUAGCCGUGGGCCACCAUUAGAAAGGCUAUAUAGCCUCCACUCAGGAGGAACUAGCCGUGGGCCACCAUUAGGAAGGCUAUAUAGCCUCCACUCAGGAGGAACUAGCCGUGGGCCACCAUUAGGAAGGCUAUAUAGCCUCCACUCAGGAGGAACUAGCCGCGGGCUCCAUUAGGAAGGCUAUAUAGCCUCCACUCAGGAGGAACUAGCCACGGGCUCCAUUAGGAAGGCUAUAUAGCCUCCACUCAGGAGGAACUAGCCGCGGGCUCCAUUAGGAAGGCUAUAUAGCCUCCACUCAGGAGGAACUAGCCGCGGGCUCCAUUAGGAAGGCUAUAUAGCCUCCACUCAGGAGGAACUGAGAUACAGUCUUCAGUCACUCAUACAGUAGCACUUUGGUCCCAGAGAAGAAAAAAGAGAGACCUUUAUAGUACAUAGUCCUUCCCUGCUAGCGGUGCUCUAUGGCUAACAUAAGGAUCGGACUAGCUGAGCACAUUCGGCACUAUGGCUCGUUAUGUGCUGUAGCAACAGAAGGCUAGCUGUUGUCGAGCACUUAAGGCUAGUGGAAUGCUAUGGCUAAGGCUACAGCCUAGCGGCCCUCUUCUCCUGUUAGCCUAGCGCUGGGGCUAGCAGUCCUCUUCUCCUGUUAGCCUAGUGCUGGGGCUAGCUGUCCCCCCAUCCUCCUGUUAAUGGUCCGUUAGCAGUGCUGAGGGUGGUGCUGUAGAAUGCUCUCCUCUCUCUCUGUAGACACGCAGGAUGGCCUCACACAUAAACCGGAACUGACACUUGAACACAAACAAAAACAGUCCAGUCACAUACAACAAACAUACCAAAGGAAGUUGCAGACAUAGUCAUUAGGGUUUCAAUGCUGAUCUUGGGAGGAGUAGCUAAUGGUUAGACGUAUAGGCGCGUGUGUACCGUGGUCUGGAUCAUCAUGGCCCUCUGGUCUCGGAGCGUCCUGAUGAUGUCCAGAGGGAACACAGGUCGACCGCUCUCCAACAGCGACAAUGCCGUCUCCAUGGUAAUGAGAACACCUGUACGCCCAAUCCCUGCGCUGCAAUUACAUCAACAACAUACAUGAGGUGUUAUAAAUCUUGUAACCCUAGUGUGUGUGUGUGUGUGUGUGUGUGUACCUGCAGUGCACCAUAAGUGGUGUGUCUCCUGUCCUCCUCUCUCUAACAGAGGUGAUGAACAGCAGGAAGUCUGAGGGGUCAUCAGGUACACCAUGGUCUGGCCAUGCUACAUAUUGCAGGUGGGUCACCGAACGCUCCUCUCCCAGCUGGAAACACACACACGUUUAGGAAAAACAGACAGAAAACAGCUGACAGAACACACACUUUUCCCCCAUCUGUCUCUCAUAAAAUAUAUUUUCAAAAAUUAACUUGGAUAUGUGGAUAUGUAAUUGUAAUGGGAGAGAUGGAUGAUAUGUGAGGAGAGAGAAACUGAGAAAAGUGUAGGGUAUGGUAACGCGUUAGUUACUGUGAUGAUGGAGGGAUGGAUGGAUAGAGGAGGAGAGUAGAGGGAGAGAGGAAAGAUGGAGAGAGGCAGAGAGUAGAGGGAGAGAUGGAGGAGUGUUGUCCAGCCUGUGGUCCAUGCAGGGAUUAACUGACAGCCAGAUGAACAGAUGGGUCUACACAGUAGUGUAGUGUUGUGUGUGUGUAUGUACUCUUUGGCAGGCUAUUAUUGUACAGGAGAACAUGUUCUAUAUUAACCUCUGUGGUGCAAAGGUAAAUAAACAAUGCCAAUUGAAGCAGAAACACGUGGAGCUGGAUGGGGAUAGUUUGGUCAAUGUUUCCUGUGGAGAACACACACACACCUCCUCUUAUGUGAGCUAGGUCAUGUUUUUGUGUUACCUGUGUGUGUGUGAGGGUGAACUGGCGUGUGACGUAGGCCAGGUUGCAUUCCUCAGAGUGGCAGCUGACCCUCAGGUACCCAUAAUCCCUCACUUCAGGAGGGUGUGGCCAGUACUGGUGGCACUUAGUCUGAAACACACACAUACAAACACACAAUUAAUUUUGACAUUCAUUAAUAUUGAUUUACUAUAGAGGUUGUAAUCUUUAAGCUCUGAGAAAUAUUAUUUUACUGAGCUGUGUUUCAUAUUUCUGAGUCAGUGCUUCACUCACUGUGUUCUCCCAAACAUCUCAGGACAUUCUCAGGGCCAGUACUUAUAUUACAUCAGGAGAUGAGUGGAAACUGACUGUCAGCCUGAAUGUAUGUAUGUGUGUGUGUUUGCAUGCGAUAAACCAGGGCACUUGUGGAAUAUCAGCAAGACAAUCAAUCAGUGAGAGCUUCAGGUUACCAAGCAACAGGCAGGCAAAGACGCAGACGGUGACUCACAAUGAGCCUGGGACCUUGGUAAACCUGUGUGCUGUACCCAUUCUCAUUCAGUAAUGUGUGUUUCACUCUUUGAAAGAGAGAGAAGGUCCGUGUGCAUACCCGUCCUCUCUCGGUGAGUGUGGUGAGCAUGAUGAUGGUGUGUGUGUGUUGCUCCCACACACUCUGCCAGAAGUGAGUGCAGGUCUGAGGCAGCGGUCCUUGAGCUGCAAUGUAGCGCAGACACACACCAGACCCUGGGGACACCACCUGAGACACAUACACAGCAUGACUAUAAACAAACACAAGCCAACAAGGACAACACUAAACACAGUGUGUACUGACCGUGAUGUGGCUUGCAUUGAUGUAGUCCUCUUGGUCCUGAAGUACCACUCUGGAGACGUCGUCUGACAGAACAAAGAGUUAGAGAUGGAGUCACAACCAGGGCCCUCCAGACCCACCCAAACCCCUGUACCAGCUCAACAAACAAAGCACCAGUGUCCUGUCCUCCAGCUCCACACAUUCAGGACAUUAGGGAAGAUGGGUACACUGGCACUGGUAUGUCGAGUCACUCCUACUAGGACACACAACUGUGUGUGAGAUGGUGUGUGUACUCACAGGGCAGCACGUCCUUGUAUCUGUUCUUGUCUGUGUUCUCAGGGAGACGAGCGCAGGCUACUGACAGGCCAGGCUUCCUCAUGUACAGGUUCUACAACACACACAUCACCACCAUCACUCACCAUGCUCUUCUGUCUGGAUUGUCAACAGCAGGUCUUGUUGACAAGUUAUUCCCAAAGUGCAUCUGUUACAUUUAACACACAAGCAAGUCCCUUUCAUAGUGUUGUUGUCUAACUAAAACACACCUCGAAGUGGAAGGUGAGAGUGCCUGUCUGGAUCCCCCUCUCCAGUUGUUUCAUGGACUCUUCAAGUGUCUGGCCUUGUUCUGAUUGGCCAGGUAGAAGCAGUGGUUCACCGUGUGAUUGGCCAGUCAAAGACAGGGCAGAGGGAAACUGCAGCAGGGGGGCCACACGCCCUGGACCUAAACACACACACAGUGUUAUCUGCAUCAGUAUCUGAUUAGCAGGCCCAUUCUCUUGCUCUCUCUAGUGUGUGUUACCUUUGCGUCGUAUAAGCAGAGCCAGUUCUCUGGAGUGGGACUCUCUGCUGGCUCUUAUAAACAUGACCACCUGAUCAUGCGUGUGUUCAGAGAUGUCACGACCGUUGAUCAGCACGACCUGGUCACCUUCCAACAACCUUGGCUCAACCCGCCCCGCCUACAAUCAAUUCAUCAACAAGUCAAAUCACAUUGGAUUAAUCUAAAGUACUGUUUACAAAUGCAUUAUAUACACAGAUAAACCAGAACAUGUCACUUACAGGGGAGUCAGGGUUGACCUGGGAUAUGGCCAGGGACAUCUUCUGGUCCACGCCACCCUGAGAAGAGGAACAGUCAGGGAUACAGGGAUGGUACUGCAUGUAAGAGAGUAGGUGUGUGAUUAAUUGAAGGGGAGACUCACUUUGACAUUGAAACCAAACUUUCCGUCGUGAUCAGGAGCGAGACGCACCAAUAGCAGGUCGCCAUCCCCCAGAGCACGCUGCAACACAGAGUUUACUGAGUCUGGCACACACAGAUGAGAUACUUUAUCACAAUUACAUGAUCACACCCUUGUCUGUCUGGGUAACUGACCUUGUCCCGGUAGUGAGAGGUGUCCUUAAUGUCUUCCUCUCCUGUGCCGAUGUCAUCAACCUGCGACCAUCCGCCUCCUUGGCUGUGAGUGCCAGAAACACUGAGAUAGAUACUGUGUUCAGAACUGACUCCAACAUGAGAAUGUACUUUACACUGAUACACACACAGUAUGAAAUUGUGUGUGUGUGUGUGUGUCUGACCUGUGUGUAGGCGUGCCCUCCUGGCUGCUGCUGAGGGAGACCCUGUAGGUGUAAAAGACAUCCUCCCCCUCUGACACGUCUCGCAGGUCAUUGUUUAGCUCCACUGAGGAGGGGCGGGGUUUACGGGCGCCAUGACGCACACGAGGACUCCGCCUAACAGAGAGAGAGACAAUGUACGAUGAAGUUACCCCUAGUCACAGCUACCCCUUACAUGGUAUCUCCUGCUGUAGCAGUGUGUGAGGCUGUGGUGUGGGUAGUACCAGUUGGGUGUGAGCGGGGGGGAUCGGGAAGGUAGGCUCUUGGUCUCCAAGUGUUCUGACGAGGUGGAUCCCCUCAGAGCUGGGUUCCACUCCAUCCCACCCAUCACUUUCUUACACACUGGACCACUGCAGAGGAGACGAGAGUGUGUGUGUGCAGAUGAGUAAAAGAAAGAUAGUGUUAAUGAUGGGGGGUGUGUGUGUGUGCAUGCUUGCCUGUCUGUUUUAGUGUUGCCCAAGGCCCAGUGUUGUGAGAGCAGCUUGUUGUGUAUCUGGGUUGCCAGGUUGGUGUGGUGUGGGCUACAGGUUGCCAGGUUGGUGUGGAAGAAGCAGUGAUGGUCCACACAUGACCUCCACAGGUUCUUACAGGCCCUGGGGCACGGCAGGACCAGGCUCACCACACAGUCCUGCGUCUCCCCCUGGAACACACACACAGGUUAUGAAGACAACACUAAGGUCAGCAAAUAUGAGAGCAGAACACAAUUUUGAGCCAAUCAGGACUCACAUGUUUGCGUCUGAGCUGCAUAAGGAAGCGUUUCCUCUUGAAGGAUAUCUUGAUGAUGUUCACCCUGCAGGAGACAAUACACACUCAGGGUGUGUAUUUGCGUGCGGUGUGUGUGUGUGUGUGUGUGUCUGAUCAGAAGUCCAGGUGCUCACCAGGGGAAGAAACUGGAGCAAAUCAUGUUACAGAAGAUAGCCACGCCCCCUGAGGCCAAUCCCACCAAUAGAGGGGAACUGUUGGAGUCCUGAAAGAAAGAAAGAGAUAGAAACAUGAGAGUGAGAAGAGGGAAGACGAGGGUGAGUCAGAAGGAGACAUAUGGAGGUACUUACCAUGGCAGUGUGUAGCUCCACUCCAUACAGCUCCAGAGUUCUUGCUGUGUUGAGAAAACACAGCUCUGCAUCACUCUGCUUCAGCCCCCUGAAACAGCACAUGAGUAGGAUAGGUUGGUAUCAGCAUUAUGCCAACAGCGCCACCAUGUCCUCUAGUAGGCUAGGGGGUGCUGUACACGUGCCUAGCCUGGGUGUGGGUGUGUACCUGUGCCCUGGGUACAGAGCCUCCACUCUAGACAGGAAGUCAUCAUCCUGCUCCGGGAGGAAGUGGCUUUUGGACAGGUAACCAGGGAGAAGGUCUGGGGAGUAGUCACCUAGCUCAGCUACAAUACAGAGAGAGAAAGCGGAGAAAGAGAGAGAAGGGGAGAGCAAAAGAAGGGGUGAAGGAGAGAGAGAAGGGGUGAGAGAGAGAGGGGGGUGACACAGAUUAUGUUAAACCCCCAGACAGACAACACACUAAAAAGACCACAGAAGAGUGUAACUUACACUGCACAGCAUAGGAGGCCAGUACCACAGCUGCACUCAGAGGACACUUCAACCUGCAGGACACACACUUUCUCAAUGUAACGUCACAUUGUUUACACCACUAGGUGGAGUAAGAGGGAAUGCAUGUGUAGGUGGGAGCUCGUGGUGUCUGACCUGCCCUCUCUGAUGUCACUCCUGAUCUGGAGGAAGUACAUAUGUCUGAAGACAAAGGAUGGUAGAGGAGACUUAUUAUCUGAAUCACACAUGUACAGUACAAGCUAAUGACACACACACACUCUCUCAACAUAGUCUACAGGUACACACACUCACUCAACAUAGUCUACAGGUACACACACACACUCAACAUAGUCUACAGGUACACACACUCACUCAACAUAGUCUACAGGUACACACACACACUCAACAUAGUCUACAGGUACACACACACACUCAACAUAGUCUACAGGUACACACACACACUCAACAUAGUCUACAGGUACACACACACACUCAACAUAGUCUACAGGUACACACACACACUCAACAUAGUCUACAGGUACACACACACACUCAACAUAGUCUACAGGUACACACACACACUCAACAUAGUCUACAGGUACACACACACACACUCAACAUAGUCUACAGGUACACACACACACACUCAACAUAGUCUACAGGUACACACACACACAGUCUACAGGUACACACACACACACUCUACAUAGUCUACAGGUACACACACACACACUCUACAUAGUCUACAGGUACACACACACACACUCUACAUAGUCUACAGGUACACACACACACUCUACAUAGUCUACAGGUACACACACACACUCUACAUAGUCUACAGGUACACACACACACACACACUCAACAGUCUACAGGUACACACACUCUACAGUUACACACACUCAACAUAGUCUACAGGUACACACACACACUCAACAUAGUCUACAGGUACACACACUCAACAUAGUCUACAGGUACACACACUCAACAUAGUCUACAGGUACACACACACACACACUCUACAUAGUCUACAGGUACACACACACACUCUACAUAGUCUACAGGUACACACACACACUCUACAUAGUCUACAGGUGUACACACACACACACUCUACAUAGUCUACAGGUGUACACACACACACACUCUACAUAGUCUACAGGUACACACACACACACACUCUACAUAGUCUACAGGUACACACACACACACACUCUACAUAGUCUACAGGUACACACACACACACACUCUACAUAGUCUACAGGUACACACACACACACACUCUACAUAGUCUACAGGUACACACACACACUCUACAUAGUCUACAGGUACACACACACACUCUACACAGUCUACAGGUACACACACACUCUACACAGUCUACAGGUACACACACACUCUACACAGUCUACAGGUACACACACACACUCUACAUAGUCUACAGGUACACACACACACUCUACAUAGUCUACAGGUACACACACACACACACUCAACAGUCUACAGGUACACACACACACUCUACAUAGUCUACAGGUACACACACACACACUCUACAUAGUCUACAGGUACACACACACACACUCAACAUAGUCUACAGGUACACACACACACUCAACAUAAUCUACAGGUACACACACACACUCAACAUAGUCUACAGGUACACACACACUCUACAUAAUCUACAGGUACACACACACAGGGGCUCUGAACCCAGGUCUCCCAUAGGAGAACCCAACCUCUUAACCAUUAGACCAAAAGGAAAUUCCCUAUUGGGCCAAAGGUUCCAGUGAAUUUGAAGUGGCAGGCAGGGCUACCUCAUCCCGAGACCAUGAUCUCUCCCCAUGUCCAUACCUGGUCUGGCCAUGCUGUAGAGAGUUGGGGUCUGAGAUGAAGAAUCGGACUCGGAGGGUCAGGUAGAAUGGAGAGACAACUCCUGUAGGACAGAGACGCUGUUAGACACAGCCCAAUGACCUCACCUCUGACCUUAAUCCGACCGUCACCUCUGACCUUAAUCCGACCGUCACCUCUGACCUUAAUAAUCCGACCGUCACCCCUGAUUUUAAUAAUCAGUCACCCCUGACCUUAAUAUGACCCCCACAAUCCCCUCACCCCUUCCACAGAAUUCAAUCUUACAUUUAUAAUUUAUCAAAAUGCACACUGGACUAAACAGUAGGGCGUCACUGGGCUCAGGCUAAACAGUAGGGCGUCACUGGGCUCAGGCUAAACAGUAGGGCGUCACUGGGCUCAGGCUAAACAGUAGGGCGUCACUGGGCUCAGGCUAAACAGUAGGGCGUCACUGGGCUCAGGCUAAACAGUAGGGCGUCACUGGGCUCAGGCUAAACAGCAGGGCGUCACUGGGCUCAGGCUAAACAGCAGGGCGUCACUGGGCUCAGGCUAAACAGCAGGGCGUCACUGGGCUCAGGCUAAACAGCAGGGCGUCACUGGGCUCAGGCUAAACAGCAGGGCGUCACUGGGCUCAGGCUAAACAGCAGGGCGUCACUGGGCUCAGGCUAAACAGCAGGGCGUCACUGGGCUCAGGCUAAACAGCAGGGCGUCACUGGGCUCAGGCUAAACAGCAGGGCGUCACUGGGCUCAGGCUAAACAGCAGGGCGUCACUGGGCUCAGGCUAAACAGCAGGGCGUCACUGGGCUCAGGCUAAACAGCAGGGCGUCACUGGGCUCAGGCUAAACAGCAGGGCGUCACUGGGCUCAGGCUAAACAGUAGGGCGUCACUGGGCUCAGUCUAAACAGUAGGGCGUCACUGGGCUCAGUCUAAACAGUAGGGCGUCACUGGGCUCAGGCUAAACAGUAGGACGUCACUGGGCUCAGGCUAAACAGUAGGACGUCACUGGGCUCAGGCUAAACAGUAGGACGUCACUGGGCUCAGGCUAAACAGUAGGACGUCACUGGGCUCAGGCUAAACAGUAGGACGUCACUGGGCUCAGGCUAAACAGCAGGGCGUCACUGGGCUCAGGCUAAACAGCAGGGCGUCACUGGGCUCAGGCUAAACAGCAGGGCGUCACUGGGCUCAGGCUAAACAGCAGGGCGUCACUGGGCUCAGGCUAAACAGCAGGGCGUCACUGGGCUCAGUCUAAACAGUAGGGCGUCACUGGGCUCAGGCUAAACAGUAGGGCGUCACUGGGCUCAGUCUAAACAGUAGGACGUCACUGGGCUCAGGCUAAACAGUAGGGCGUCACUGGGCUCAGGCUAAACAGUAGGGCGUCACUGGGCUCAGGCUAAACAGUAGGACGUCACUGGGCUCAGGCCAAGGUCUCAUUUAGUGUUUCUUACCUUUCAGCUGCUUCUUCAGUGGUUUGUUGGCCUCCAGCCACCUCUGCAAGACAAACUAUGUUAAUCAAAGACAUGAUGUUACAUUCACCAUCUGUUGUGUGAGUUUUAGAGUAUAGACUAAGUGUGUUAGUGUAGCAACUCACAGGAGAGUGUGUUUGAGUUGUGUUAGUGUAGCAACUCACAGGAGAGUGUGUUUGAGUUGUGUUAGUGUAGCUACUCACAGGAGAGUGUUUGAGUUGUGUUAGUGUAGCUACUCACAGGAGAGUGUGUUUGAGUGACGAUGGUGGUGUUGGAGUCUCGUAGCUGCAGACUGAAGAAGUGUCUCUCCAGCAGACCCAGCUGAUUACACACCUGCUCCAGCAAAACCUCACCUGCAUCCUGCUUCUGAGAGACGCAAAACACAGCUUAUACCAGGAGUCAGUCAGUGUGUGUGUGUGUGUGUGUGAGAUAUUGCAGUACAGUGUGUUUUGGUAAAGCUUUUCUAGUGAGUGUGUUCUCCAGGUCAAGGUUGUGUGUUGAGAUCAAUGGGAAGCUGAGAUCUGAGUCUCCCGGUCUAUCAUUCCCACUCUACUCAGGACUGUGUGUACUCACGUUGACUGUAAAGGUCUGGAUAGUGUUGUCCAGUAGUUGAACCAAACACAGUAGAUCAGGUUUGGGCAUGUCUGUUACCGCGGGUUACUCAAACUCUUACACACACACACACGUCUAUCGAGUCCAAAAUGUGCACGCACAGCAGUAUUCUAGAAUAUUGGACCAUUGGCCUUCAUACUUUUGUAAUUCUCAAUGCAGCUCAAGCUAUUUCUCCAAUUGUCAACACAUUCAAAUCAAUAGAGGGAUGCGUAUGCAAAGCCGCGUUGGUUGGGGAGGUACCCGUUAUGGCUGUGUGUUCCCCCUGCGGGUUUCUCUGUGUCUUUGCACUCUGAAUUACGCGUCACUCACUCACUCACACACACUGACACAACCCUCAGUCCAUCUCCACAACCUGGGGAGAGAUAAAACACACAUCUUAAUGAAACACCUCCAGACUCUGGAAACUGUGAUGAUAUCUGCUCAUGUAGUUUAGCCCCUCCCUAAGGAUGACAUCGUCUGCAGUGAACAGCCCCUUUUCUACUUCUCUCUCACACACACACACACACACACACACACACACACACACACACACACACACACGCCCAGUGAGUAAUUUGUGUGUCUGUGAAGCAGUAUCAUGCUACAAUGAGUAAUGCAGUGUGUAUGUUGGUAAUACAUUAUUAUCUGUCCAGAGUCUGAACAUGUCCUUUCCCCCUGUUCUCUCCUCCGCCCUGUGUAGACUGCUGAAUGAUAAGAAUGUUAAAUAUUGUCAGAGACAAGCUAGUCCAUCCACAGGCCUAGGAACUGAUCUCAGCUCUACAUGCACACACACGGGCUGCAGUGUUGUUUACACACCAGUUCUACUGGUCAUCAACUCACUAACCCAUGCUUUUAAUAACAGCUGUGUGUGUGCUUGUUAAUGUAGGCUAAGGGGAGUGGGCCAGGUCUUUUUGUAGGCCACUCUCUCUCUCUCACACACGUUAAUGUUUGGACUCACUCUGAAUACAUUACAGUGAGUAGAGCACUCUCUCACGCCUGAUUUUCCAUAAUGACAUUAACACCAGGUAGAACUGAGCUGCCUAAACCAUUUUAGGACAGAGUUUUUUGCCAAGUCUAGACUGUUGAGUGGGCAGUAUUGGUAUACAACAUUGCCUAUUUAAAGUGUAUCAGCUAGGCCUGAGACUUGCUCCUGGUUGCAUUGGCGAACUUGUGAGCAACGUCAUCUCGGUUAUCGAUAAAACUUGUGUAUCGCAAUGAUUAACACGGAGAAUAAGAACCUACCAUAUAGUAUAUUGGACGUUAUUUGAAACAUACAGCCUCGACGUGGACUUUAAACUAAGUAGGCUCUAUGAACGACCAACAUAAACGUAGCCUAAUGUUAUAGGUUCUUCUGCUGCUACGCUCAACAUGCCAUUCAGCAACUUUAACGUUACUUCACUUCAGAUAUCAAGUUGAUCCUGGAGGAUUGUUAUGAGAACACACACAAUCUAGCUUGAGAAGAUCAGUUAAAAUACCUCAGUAGUCCUGGAUUUGGGAACUUUGUCAUGUCCGUUGAUACUACCGCUGUUAAAAACCUUGGAACUGGGCGCGUCGCGCGGGCAGGUGGAGGUAAACAUCGGUAAAUAUCCGGAAAGAGAUAUUCCCGCUGCCCCGCCUCUUCACAAUGCGCGCUCCCGCCUUGAUGGAUGCGUGUUCUGGUCCUCAACCACCCCCGCUGUCGGCUACAGCAGAUCAUAUUCUUUCAUCAGAGGAAAAAUAUAUCAUGUAAUCUGUUCACGCAGAACUGUAGAGUGACACUCUGAUUCACCAGAACAAGGGGUGGAAUAUACUUUGAAAAAAAGCUCAACUUCCAGAGAUGUGAAAGUGAAACUCGGUCUAGGUUCUUGGCAGGUCCGCAAAAGAGUGGAGUUCCUCCGGUUUUAUUCAUUGAACUACUUUGGGAACGCAUCAUUCUUUCCUUCCUUCCUUGAAGUAGCCUAGGUUACUUAUUCAUAUGAGAAAACGAAUGGUGCCUCAGUAUAGCUUCCACAUGUCCUGCCGUGAGGAGGCUCAUCCAUGGUCCAGUCAGGGGCUCGCUUCCUCUCCUAAGGCAGCGUCAUCUCCUUGUCUCCUCUCCUUUAUCUCAAUAGUCUAAUGACUCCAUCUCAUUGUCUCAUCUCCUCGUUCAUCUGUACUCAUCCAUAAAGUCAGAUAUUUCCAGUUUUUCCAUUCCAGGGCAGAUGAAGAGAAUGAAACCUGUCUAAUUACAUCCCCAAUUAAAAUGUGACUUUCUUAUCUGCUCGAGACAAUCAUAUUACUAUCAAUGUACCGGUCUGUGUCCUAACAGAAUAUGUAACAGCCUGAGAUGCAGCCUGUAAUUUACUCCCAUAGAACCUCUCUGGGGUCCUGCUGCCAUCUACAGGGAAGACAAGGUACUGCUGAAGCGGGUGUUAUUUUCUUUCAAUUCGUGUCGAAUUAAUUUGUGUAGACAACCAGGUGAUGGGAGAUCCUAACUAAUCAAUGGCGUUAAUUGAUCAAUCAAGUACAAGGGAGGAGCAAAAAUCCGCAGACACUCGGCCCACAUAGGACAGGGGUGGGCAAACUUUUUGGUUCGAGGGCCGCACAGAUUUUUGGUGAGACUGAUUUGUUUGUCAAAAUCAAUUUGCAGGCCAGAAAAGGGAGAGUUAUUUGAAAAUCUAUACUGUAGGUCCAUUAUAAUUUAUAUAUAUAUAUAUAUAUAUAGUGUAGGUCCAUUAUAAUUUAUAUAAAUAUAUAGUGUAGGUCCAUUAUAAUUUAUAUAAAUAUAUAUAUAUAUAUAUAGUGUAGGUCCAUUAUAAUUUAUAUAAAUAUAUAGUGUAGGUCCAUUAUAAUUUUUAUAAAUAUAUAGUGUAGGUCCAUUAUAAUUUAUAUAAAUAUAUAGUGUAGGCCCAUUAUAAUUUAUAUAAAUAUAUAGUGUAGGUCCAUUAUAAUUUAUAUAAAUAUAUAGUGUAGGCCCAUUAUAAUUUAUAUAAAUAUAUAGUGUAGGUCCGUUAUAAUUUAUAUAAAUAUAUAGUGUAGGUCCAUUAUAAUUUAUAUAAAUAUAUAGUGUAGGUCCAUUAUAAUUUAUAUAAAUAUAUAGUGUAGGUCCAUUAUAAUUGAUAUAAAUAUAUACUGUAGGUCCAUUAUAAUUUAUAUAAAUAUAUACUGUAGGUCCAUUGUAUUUUAUAUAAAUAUAUAGUAUAGGUCCAUUAUAAUUUAUAUAAAUAUAUAGUGUAGGUCCAUUAUAAUUUAUAUAAAUAUAUACUUUAGGUCCAUUAUAUUUUAUAUAAAUAUAUAGUGUAGGUCCAUUAUAAUUUAUAUAAAUAUAUAGUGUAGGUCCAUUAUAAUUGAUAUAAAUAUAUAGUGUAGGUUCAUUAUAAUUUCAACAUACUUUCUAUCUUGUUUAAGACUUUCAAGAGUGGCCUGGAGUGUUUUUUAAAAUCCAAAAUAAUCAAAAUUUGUGUUGGCCACCCCUGUACUUUGCCCAAGAGUAGGAAAGGGCUGGCUUCUUAUCCCAUACCAUUCUUCAGAGAAUGGACACUUGCUCACUCCCUCUCCAUGGACACUUGCUCACACCCACUCAUGGACACUUGCUCACUCCCCCUCAUGGACACUUGCUCACUCCCCCCCAUGAACACUUGCUCACGCCACCCCAUGGACACUUGUUCACUCCCCCCCAUGGACACUUGAUCACACCCCCUCAUGGACACUUGCUCACUCCCCCCCAUGGACACUUGCUCACAACCCCCCUUGGACACUUGCUCACAUCCCCUCAUGGACACUUGCUCACGCCACCCCAUGGACACUUGCUAACUCCCCCACAUGGACACUUGCUCACUACCCCCCAUGGACACUUGCUAACUCCCCCACAUGGACACUUGCUCACUCCCCCCCAUGGACACUUGCUCACAACCCCCCUUGGACACUUGCUCACACCCCCUCAUGGACACUUGCUCACUCCCCCCCAUGGACACUUGCUCACGCCACCCCAUGGACACUUGCUCACUCCCCCACAUGGACACUUGCUCACUCCCCCCCAUGGACACUUGCUCACAACCCCCCUUGGACACUUGCUCACACCCCCUCAUGGACACUUGCUCACACCCCCUCAUGGACACUUGCUCACACCACCCCAUGGACACUUGCUCACUCCCCCACAUGGACACUUGCUCACUCCCCCCCAUGGACACUUGCUCACAACCCCCUCAUGGACACUUGCUCACACCCCCUCAUGGACACUUGCUCGCAUCCCCUCAUGGACACUUGCUCACUCUGACCCAUGAACACUUGCUUAUGUCCCGUCAUGGACACUUGCUCACGCCCCCCAUGGACACUUGCUCACACCCCUUCAUGGACACUUGCUCAACCCCCCCCCCCCAUGGACACUUGCUCACUCCCCCUCAUGGACACCUGCUCACUCCCCCUCAUGGACACUUGCUCCCUCAUGAACACCUGCUCACUCCCCUCCAUGAACAGCAUUGCAUGGAUGUAAGCAUAAAGGGAUUUUCUGAAAUUCAGCGAUUGAGAGCUACAGUGUAUGCAGCAGGCUUGUGUUCCAGCCCAGUACUAACAAACCCGAUUCUAUUCCACUAACCAAUGUUAGGUGUGUCCCUUUUGCCCAAUCCAGAGAGUGGCCGUUGUGGUGUCGUCAAAAGAGAGUGCUUCUUCUCUGUGAGAUGUUGGAGGGUUACGGACGUGUUACAAUGUGUAGUGUCACCAGUUGCUGUGCCAGUAGGUUACCAAGGUCAGAGGUUAUAUAGAGUAAGAUGGUGAGUUAUAACCAGAAAAGACCGGUUCCUCUGACUCUUAAUGGGGUGACCCCCCAACCAUCUCUCUGUCAGGGGGGUGAUAGGAUGGGGUAACUUCCUCUGCCUCUCUCUCUGAGUGUCAUCUUACUGCUGCAGUAACCAAGACACAACAGCAUUGACUGUCCCUUGAACUCCACUGCCCCAAAUAUAGAGACUAGUGACAGAGAGAGAGAGAAAGAAAGAGAGAUGGGGGAGAGAGAAACAAAGAAGGAGAGAGACAGAGAAAGAGAGAGCGAAAUAGAAAGAGAGAGAGAAAAGGAGUGGUAGAGAGAUAGAGGGGGAGAGAGAAUUAGAGAGAGAAAAAAGAAAGAGAGUGGUCGAGAGAGAAAGAGAGAGAUAAAUGUCUUUGAAAUGUCUUUAUUCUUUUGGAACUUUUGUGAGUGUAAUGUUUACUGUUCAUUUUUAUUGUUUAUUUCACUUUUGUUUAUUAUCUUCUUCACUUGCUUUGGCAAUGUUAACACAUUUUCUUUUGUUUUGGUCUCCCCCACCCCUCUCUCUCUCUGUCUCUUUCUGAUGGUCUUCCUCUGUGCGAUGGGCAGAGUGUGUUGUUGGUGUUGUCAUCGUUGGAGCAAUGCGUGUUCCCAUUUGUCUGUCUCGUUAGGGUAACAUGUAUGUACUUUCUCGUUAGGACAGUGUGAACCUAUUGACUAGAGUCUAGACGGUGUCUGAUUCAGAAAGUUCUCUCUCUGGCUACAUAUGAAGAGUUUAUUUCCAAAAUUCUAUCUCCAUACAUUUUUCACGUUUUUCAUGUGUGUGUAAAAUAUUACUUUUCUCAGUUUUUUUUAUUAAUAGAUUGUAGGUGUGUAUUAAAAUGUGUCUUUUUUUUGCAAAACACUGUACAGUAUAUCCAUUGUUUAGCGGGAAUGGAAUGUUUGUAUCCUGUAGACUGUGAUAUGUGGUUGUCUCACCUAGUUACCUGAAGAUGAAUAAACUACCUGUAGUCGCUCUGGACAAGAGCUUAUGCUAAAUUACUAAAAUGUCAAAUGUAAAUGAUUUACAUACAGAUUUCAUAUUACUGUAUUGAUUCAAAGCAUAUAUAUAUAUAUUUAUAUAUAAACAGUUGAAGUCGGAAGUUUACAUACACUUAGGUUGGAGUCAUUAAAACUUGUUUUUCAACCACUCCAAAAAUUUCUUGUUAACAAACUAUAGUUUGUUAGGUCGGUUAGGACAUCUAAUUUGUGCAUGACACAAGUCAUUUUUCCAACAAUUGUUUACAGACAGAUUAUUUCACUUAUCAUUAACUGUAUCACAAUUCCAGUGGGUCAGAAGUUUACAUACACUAAGUUGACUGUGCCUUUAAACAGCUUGGAAAAUUCCGGAUCAGAUCAGAUCAUCAGUCAGAACUUCCUGACUGAUGUCUUGAGAUGCUGCUUCAAUAAAUCCACAUAAUUUUCCUUUCUCAUGAUGCCAUCUAUGUCAUCUAUAGUGAAAAAACACCAAUAUCUUUCAUACGUUCUUUAAACAAUAAAAGUUAAUUUGCCAACAUUUAUGAAAAUUGAUAUACAGCCUUUUGGGAAAAAACUCAUAUUAUGUAAUGAAUUACAUGAUUUGUUUUAUUAUAUUAUGUAAUAUUGAUACACUCUUUGGCACACACAGAAUACAGACCUGUCACACACACACACACACACAUACACACACACACACACACACACACACACACACACACACACACACACACACACACACACACACACACACACACACACACACACACACACAUUCCCCAAAGCAGUAGCACAGUGUCUGUCCAUGCAGAGCUCCUACAAAGUUUUAGAAGGUUUUCCAUUGACAGGACGUUGAUUCGACAGUACACCCGGGGCACGCUGGAGCCCCUGUCAGGAUUUAGUGGAUGAGUGACUUGAGCCCAACGCACAAUAAUGUAGCCUACAGGGGUGCCAGGGGCGCCUUGGACUCAAUUAGGCCUACGUCAGAGAGUCAGAGAGGUCUUUUGACGGGAGAGCGUGUGGGAUUGUUGUAAAUAGCCUGCCUGCCGAGCGCGCGCUGUCAGUGGUGCUGAACUCUUCAGACCACAGCCACCAGAGUUAAAGAAUAUCUCAGUUUGUUCGCUCCUUUCACUGGACUUCAUUAUUUCAUCCAGAUGGGCGUUAUGCAGCCAAUGCGCAGUAUGUUCUAUGCCAAAAUGAAAGGGCUUGUGUCAUUUUUUACUGGUAAGUUUGACAUUCUAUGGAAUUCUAUUAAUGGAAUUCGGUGGCCUAACACCUUUUCUCGACAACUGUUAUAAUGCAUUAUUAUAGGGUCAUAAAGCAUUGUCAAUAACAGGUACACUACAUGACCAAAAGUAUGUGGACACCUGCUCCUCGAAGAUCUCAUUCCAAAAUCAUGGACAUUAAUAUGGAGUUGGUCCUGCCUUUGCUGCUAAAAUAGCCUCCAGUCUUCUGGGAAGGCUUUCUACUAGAUGUUGGAACAUUUCUGCUGGGACUUGCUUCCAUUCAGCCACAAGAGCAUUAGUGAGGUCGGGUGCUGAUGUUGGGCAAUUAGGCAUGGCUCGCAGUCAGCGUUCUAAUUCAUCCCAAAGGUGUUUGAUGGGGUUGAGGUCAGGGCUCUGUGCAGGCCAGUCAAGUUCUUCCACACCGAUCUCGACAAACCAUUUCUGUAUGGACCUCGCUUUGUGCACGAAGGCAUUGUCAUGCUGAAACAGGAAUAGGGCUUUCCUCAAACUGUUGCCACAAAGUUGGAAGCACAGAAUCAUCUAGAAUGUCAUUUAUGCUGUAGUGUUAAGAUUUCCCUUCAGUAGAACUAAGGGGCCUAGCCCGAACCAUGAAAAACAGCCCCAGACCAUUAUUCCUCCUCCACCAAACUUUACAGUUGGCACUAUGCAUUGGAGCAGCGAGCGUUCUCCUGGCAUCCGCCAAACCCAGAUUCAUUCAUUGCACUGCCAGAUGGUGAAGCAUGAUCACUCCAGAGAAUGCGUUUCCACGGCUCCAGAGUCCAAUGGCGGCGAGCUUUACACCACUCCAGCCGAUGCUUGGCAUUGUGCAUGGUGAUCUUAUGCUUGUGUGCGGCUGCUCGGCCAUGGAAACCCAUUUCAUGAAGCUCCCGACGAACAGUUCUUGUGCUGACAUUGCUUCCAGAGGCAGUUUGGAAAUCAGUAGUGAGUGUUGCAACCGAGGACAGAUGAUUUUGUAACGCACGUCGUCGGGAGAAGGAGAAGAGGACCAAGGUGCAGCGUGGGUGAAGCCUUCUGAUUUCCAAUACCUGAAGGUCAUCGGCAAAGGAAGCUUUGGGAAGGUGGGAGCAAGUGUGUGUGUCCCUUUACGUGUGUGUGUGUUUAUGAGUAGGCCGGUGUGUGUUUGUUGUGUUGGUGAAGUCUUUAUCUUGUUGUAGGUGGUGUUAGCGAGACACAGACAGAGUGGAAGUAUGUAUGCUGUCAAGGUUCUACAGAAACAGGUCAUACUGAGGAAGA